AUUGAACGCUGGCGGCAUGCUUUACACAUGCCAGUCGAACGGCAGCGCGGGCUUCGGCCUGGCGGCGAGUGGCGAACGGGUGAGUAAUACAUCGGAACGUGCCCAGUAGUGGGGGAUAGCUCGGCGAAAGCCGGAUUAAUACCGCAUACGACCUGAGGGUGAAAGCGGGGGAUCUUCGGACCUCGCGCUAUUGGAGCGGCCGAUGGCAGAUUAGCUAGUUGGUGGGGUAAAGGCCUACCAAGGCGACGAUCUGUAGCUGGUCUGUGAGGACGACCAGCCACACUGGGACUGAGACACGGCCCAGACUCCUACGGGAGGCAGCAGUGGGGAAUUUUGGACAAUGGGCGAAAGCCUGAUCCAGCAAUGCCGCGUGUGUGAUGAAGGCCUUCGGGUUGUAAAGCACUUUUGGCGGGAACGAAAAGGACUGUGCCAAUACCACGGUUCGAUGACGGUACCCGCAGAAUAAGCACCGGCUAACUACGUG
This 484-nucleotide ribosomal RNA is filed under the name uncultured bacterium. RNAcentral's name for it is "partial 16S ribosomal RNA". It matches the Rfam family "Bacterial small subunit ribosomal RNA", at positions 29 to 507 of the family's 1533-position model. The record is from RNAcentral.